GUGGGGAAUCUUGCGCAAUGGGCGAAAGCCUGACGCAGCCAUGUCGCGUGAAUGAUGAAGGUCUUAGGAUUGUAAAAUUCUUUCACCGGGGACGAUAAUGACGGUACCCUGAGAAGAAGCUCCGGCUAACUUCGUGCCAGCAGCCGCGGUAAUACGAAGGGGGCUAGCGUUGCUCGGAAUUACUGGGCGUAAAGGGCGCGUAGGCGGACAGCUUAGUCAGAGGUGAAAGCCCAGGGCUCAACCUUGGAAUUGCCUUUGAUACUGGCUGUCUUGAGUUUGGGAGAGGUGAGUGGAACUCCGAGUGUAGAGGUGAAAUUCGUAGAUAUUCGGAAGAACACCAGUGGCGAAGGCGACUCACUGGCCCAAUACUGACGCUGAGGCGCGAAAGCGUGGGGAGCAAACAGGAUUAGAAACCCUGGUAGUCC
This 425-nucleotide ribosomal RNA is filed under the name uncultured bacterium. RNAcentral's name for it is "partial 16S ribosomal RNA". It matches the Rfam family "Bacterial small subunit ribosomal RNA", at positions 354 to 796 of the family's 1533-position model. The record is from RNAcentral.